This 21-nucleotide non-coding RNA is filed under the name Arabidopsis thaliana (thale cress). Lineage: Eukaryota; Viridiplantae; Streptophyta; Magnoliopsida; Brassicales; Brassicaceae. The record is from RNAcentral.
UGACACAUAUGUAAGGAGCCA